GAUGAACGCUGGCGGCGUGCCUAAUACAUGCAAGUCGAGCGAACAGAUGAGGAGCUUGCUCCUCUGACGUUAGCGGCGGACGGGUGAGUAACACGUGGAUAACCUACCUAUAAGACUGGGAUAACUUCUGGACACCGGAGCUAAUACCGGAUAAUAUAUUGAACCGCAUGGUUCACUAGUGAAAGACGGUUUUGCUGUCACUUAUAGAUGGAUCCGCGCCGCAUUAGCUAGUUGGUAAGGUAACGGCUUACCAAGGCAACGAUGCGUAGCCGACCUGAGAGGGUGAUCGGCCACACUGGGACUGGGACACGGGCCAGACUCGUACGGGAAGAAGCAGUAGGGAAUCUUCCGAAACGGGCGAAAGCAUGACGGAGCAACGCGGCGUGAGUGAUGAAGGUAUUCGGAUCGUAAAACUCUGUUAUUAGGGAAGAACAAAUGUGUAAGUAACUAUGGAAGUCUUGACGGUACCUAAUCAGAAAGCCACGGCUAACUACGUG
This 497-nucleotide ribosomal RNA is filed under the name uncultured bacterium. RNAcentral's name for it is "partial 16S ribosomal RNA". It matches the Rfam family "Bacterial small subunit ribosomal RNA", at positions 28 to 507 of the family's 1533-position model. The record is from RNAcentral.